GACGAACGCUGGCGGCGUGCUUAACACAUGCAAGUCGAACGGAAAGGCCCUGCUUUUGUGGGGUGCUCGAGUGGCGAACGGGUGAGUAACACGUGAGUAACCUGCCCUUGACUUUGGGAUAACUUCAGGAAACUGGGGCUAAUACCGGAUAGGAGCUCCUGCUGCAUGGUGGGGGUUGGAAAGUUUCGGCGGUUGGGGAUGGACUCGCGGCUUAUCAGCUUGUUGGUGGGGUAGUGGCUUACCAAGGCUUUGACGGGUAGCCGGCCUGAGAGGGUGACCGGGCACAGAGGGAGAGGGGUGCGAGCAGGACGGAUGCGGGAGGAAGGAGUGGAGAAUUGAGCACGAUAGGCGGAGGGAGGGAGGAACGUCGCCGGGUGCGAAAUGACUGCCUUCGGGUAGUAAAACGAGUUCGCCUGUGACGAAGCGUGAGGAACGGAAAUAAUUAAAGAGGAACGGACAAACUAGUU
Molecule: ribosomal RNA, 467 nt
Filed under: uncultured bacterium
Lineage: Bacteria
Description: partial 16S ribosomal RNA
Rfam family: Bacterial small subunit ribosomal RNA
Source: RNAcentral